AUGCCGGGCCCAAACUCGAGGACCACCGUUUGGGUGGCCCGUGGUUUAGCGACCGCCGUCACGCCGGACCACCCCCGGCCCUGGCCUAGGGUUUGGUGGGCGAGCUCAGUGCCGUCUUCCAGUGGUGGACGAGGAGAUCCGGCACGAACCACACACAGGGAGGAGCUCAACCUCUGCUGCCUCUGCGUGCCCCCAGGAAUAAAGAUGGCAACUUUUGGGGGCAAGGUUAUUUUAAAGUCUGAUGAUUGCUAUGUCGUGCAAGAGGGUGUUGAGCUGAUAGGUAAUUGCAGGAGUCGAUGA
Molecule: ribosomal RNA, 300 nt
Filed under: Triticum aestivum (bread wheat)
Lineage: Eukaryota; Viridiplantae; Streptophyta; Magnoliopsida; Poales; Poaceae
Description: partial small subunit ribosomal RNA
Source: RNAcentral